Molecule: long non-coding RNA, 980 nt
Filed under: Nicotiana benthamiana
Lineage: Eukaryota; Viridiplantae; Streptophyta; Magnoliopsida; Solanales; Solanaceae
Description: long non-coding RNA (NBEN_LNC030108)
Source: RNAcentral
CUAAACCUUUCUUUAUCUUUUCUGAAAAUUGUGACCAUCUUGAUAUAUAUGAUGUUUUACCUAUACCAGCCUUUAGGGAGUCUACUAUAGCUCCUCCUUCACCUUCCGCCACAGAAGUCUCACCCGAUCCUACUAUAGCUCCUCCUUCACAUUCCGCUACAUAAGUCUUACCCAUUCCAACCAUUGGAGAGUCUAGUGUAGCUCCUCCUAGACUCCCUGCCACAAAAACUCCACUCUUGACAUAUCAUCGUCGUGCUCGCCCAGCAUCCGGCCCGGUUGAUUCACGUCCUGCACCUGGUUCAAGGUUGGUCAAGAUGGUAAGGUUGAUCGUCUUAAGACUCGUCUUGUUGCCAAGGGAUAUACUCAGGUAUUUGGGCUUGAUUACAGUGAUACCUUCUCUCCCUUGGCUAAGAUAGCAUCAGUCCACCUUUUUUUAUCCAUGGCUGCUGUUCGCCAUUGACCUCUGUAUCAGCUGGAUAUUAAAAAUGCGUUUUUAGACGGUGACUGGUAAGAAUGGACCUUGGGCCUAACUCAACCCCAAGAGCUAGCUUAUGAGGUGAGGAUUGCCCAAGCCAUAUAAGGAGACCAAUGACCUCAAAUCCCUCAGAUGUGGGACAACUCAAUAUCCCCCCACACGCCCAGAUCUCUGGAGCGUGGACAACAUAAAUGAGGGCCCAACAUCGAUAACAAUAAUUGGGAUGUGCAUGGCUCUGAUACCAUGAAAAGAAUGGACCUUGGGCCUAACUCAACCCCAAAAGCUAGCUUAUGAGGUGAGAAUUGCCCAAGCCAUAUAAGGAGACAAGGAGACCAAGGACCUCAAAUCCGUCAGAUAUGGGACAACUCAACAGUGACCUUGAGGAUGAAAUUUAUAUGGAGCAACCACCUGGGUUUGUUGCUCAGAGGGAGUUUCAUGGCCUUGUAUGUCACUUGCGCCGGUCAGUUUAUGGUCUAAAGCAGUCUCCUCAGUUUAUCGCCUUCUG